GACAGCACGUAACCAGAUACAAAGGCUGCCCUGUGACGGCAUUGCCAUGGUAACAGGGGAGCACUCUAACGGUUCUUGUCCUGAACGAGCCGGUUUGGACCGGCUGGCGCUCGGAGGAGGGUCUGCAAACACAGCGCCCUUGGACACUGCGCAAGGUGAUCACUGAAUUGUCCACCCAGAUUCACAGAGGAUGGCAUCGCCAGUGCCCGUGAUGAUCACCAUGGUUCUGAAUUCAAAUGCCACAGGAGCCUACCAGGCUGGACUCAGAAAGAUUAUGAAUAUCUCAUCAUUUUUCACAUAUCACAACAUCAAAAAGGAGGAAACCCAUGCAGACACAGGGAGAAUGUGCAAACUCCACAUAGACACUCGCCCGAGGCAGGAAUCGAAUCCGGGUCCCUGGCGUGAUGAGACAGCAAUGCUAACCACUGAGCUACCAUGCCAGCCAAAUAGACUGAACCAUGACAAAUGGAAUUCCGUUCUGUAUAUCUUCUUACAAAAUACAAUGAAAAGUGUUGUGUAGUGUCACCACUCUCCAGCACAUCUUUGAACACAGAAAAAUAAAACAAAACAUAGAAUUUGAAGACAGAAAAAUGAAGAAAUAAAGAAAGUAUCCAAUUUUACAGUCAUUCUUGUUAAGUGCGCCAACAUGGAAUUGGCCAGGUAUGAGUGUCCUUUGCUGCGUUGCUGCUGCUGAAAUGAAAGUCACUGUUCUUUGGUGGCAUCUCGCCUUCACCAAUGCCCUUAUCACUGAGCUCUCACUGAACUUCACCAAUGCAAAUGCGGCCAAUGCAGUCAGGUACCAAAGUGGCCCAAAUUUGACCACCGCCACUAUGAGUUCACCUUGGGCCCACCUUGCUGAUGCAGCUGCUGCUGAUGCUGCCGUAUCUCAUACUAGGCAGAAACUCACUUCCGUCACCGCCUCCGUGAAUUUGCACUGGAAGCAGAUGCUGCCAAGAACCCAAAGUCACCUCUGCAGCAGCAGCCAGGAGACACCACUAGGACCUCCUUGACGAUGCAGAAGCCACAUGGAACCCAAUGCUACUGCUACGAGUCCACAUUGCUGAGCCCACUCACCGACUGCCUCAGCUUUGCGCUGGGACCCUUCAAGUCUGCACUGCUGGCCCCACUUACUGCCACUGAUGCCAUCAUCGUGACCGACCUCUUCAUCAAGAGGUAAAUAAGAUAGAGGAAAAAAAAACAAGAGAAGAGAGAGAAAAAAGAAAAGAAAUGGAAAACAAGCGGAUGGAGCAGAUGAGCCCUGGGCUCAGAAGCCCUACUCUGCUGCCAUCUUACCAAGCACUUAGCUUGACUAGAUGUGGGGUAAUCACUCAUUGUGAUGCUACAUUUAAAUUCAGCAUGAUCAAAUUUGUAACCCUGUACCUAUUCAAAAAAUUAUAUCUUCAUUUCUAGAGGAAUACAAUUAAAAAACAGAUGUGAUAUUAAACUUAUACAGAAACUU
Molecule: long non-coding RNA, 1459 nt
Organism: Hemiscyllium ocellatum (epaulette shark)
Lineage: Eukaryota; Metazoa; Chordata; Chondrichthyes; Orectolobiformes; Hemiscylliidae
Exons: 4
Source: RefSeq, a predicted model, not a curated record